ACCGCGGUUAGACGAAAGGCCCAAGGUUGAUAUUAUCCGGCGUAAAGGGUGGUUAGGACAUACUAUUAAAUAAAGCCGAACGACCUCAAAGCUGUCAUACGCCUUCGAGACCAAGAAGCCCAACUGCGAAAGUAGCUUUACUUAUUCUGAACCCACGAAAGCUGAGGAA
This 169-nucleotide ribosomal RNA is filed under the name Centropristis striata (black sea bass). RNAcentral's name for it is "partial small subunit ribosomal RNA". The record is from RNAcentral. Lineage: Eukaryota; Metazoa; Chordata; Actinopteri; Perciformes; Serranidae.